UACAGAGGGGGCAAGCGUUGUUCGGAAUUACUGGGCGUAAAGGGCGCGUAGGCGGCCGCCUAAGUCAGACGUGAAAUCCCUCGGCUCAACCGGGGAACUGCGUCUGAGACUGGGAGGCUUGAAUCCGGGAGAGGAAUGCAGAAUUCCAGGUGUAGCGGUGAAAUGCGUAGAUAUCUGGAGGAACACCGGUGGCGAAGGCGGCAUUCUGGACCGGCAUUGACGCUGAGGCGCGAAAGCCAGGGGAGCAAACGGG
RNAcentral lists this ribosomal RNA (253 nucleotides) under uncultured bacterium. RNAcentral describes it as "partial 16S ribosomal RNA". It matches the Rfam family "Bacterial small subunit ribosomal RNA", at positions 524 to 776 of the family's 1533-position model. The record is from RNAcentral.